CAGUAGCCGCGGGAAUACGAAGGGGGCUAGCGUUGUUCGGAAUCACUGGGCGUAAAGGGUGCGUAGGCGGGAUCUUAAGUCAGGGGUGAAAUCCCGAGGCUCAACUUCGGAACUGCCUUUGAUACUGGGGUCCUUGAGUCCGGAAGAGGUGAGUGGAACUGCGAGUGUAGAGGUGAAAUUCGUAGAUAUUCGCAAGAACACCGGUGGCGAAGGCGGCUCACUGGUCCGGAACUGACGCUGAGGCACGACAGCGUGGGGAGCAAACAGGAUUAGAUACCCGCGUAGUCCCUGUCUCUUAUAC
Molecule: ribosomal RNA, 301 nt
Filed under: uncultured bacterium
Lineage: Bacteria
Description: partial 16S ribosomal RNA
Rfam family: Bacterial small subunit ribosomal RNA
Source: RNAcentral